Vicia faba (fava bean) is the source of this 387-nucleotide non-coding RNA. Lineage: Eukaryota; Viridiplantae; Streptophyta; Magnoliopsida; Fabales; Fabaceae. The record is from the annotation of a GenBank genome assembly.
CUAUAAUUGAUAAGCAUGUGAGUGAUUGAUUAUUACUCUAUAUUUGCAGCCUGGAAAUGGAAUACUCAUUAGAUUCAGCUUUACUCGAAAAUGGCCCUUCAAAACGGUUAAGGAUAGAAUCAUAUGCUUUUGGCUCAAAGGCAGGUCAUGAGAAAGUGAGAAGGGAUAAACUGAAUGACAAGUUAACUCAUGUGCAACAUCUGGAAGAGACCUGAAAGGCUGAUGGUGAUCCACAACUUCCAGAACAACAUUGUGCUUGAUUAGGAUGGUGUUCUUGAAAAAAUCAAAGGAAAGAGUUAUAUUGACAUGUCGAUAGUUGAUGACAAGACUUAUAUCAAGAUAUAUAAUAUUGAUAUGCUCAGUUUUUACUGAAAUGUAAGUCUCCAU